UUUAUGGAGAGUUUGAUCCUGGCUCAGGAUGAACGCUGGCGGCGUGCCUAAUACAUGCAAGUCGAGCGAACGGACGAGAAGCUUGCUUCUCUGAUGUUAGCGGCGGACGGGUGAGUAACACGUGGAUAACCUACCUAUAAGACUGGGAUAACUUCGGGAAACCGGAGCUAAUACCGGAUAAUAUUUUGAACCGCAUGGUUCAAAAGUGAAAGACGGUCUUGCUGUCACUUAUAGAUGGAUCCGCGCUGCAUUAGCUAGUUGGUAAGGUAACGGCUUACCAAGGCAACGAUGCAUAGCCGACCUGAGAGGGUGAUCGGCCACACUGGAACUGAGACACGGUCCAGACUCCUACGGGAGGCAGCAGUAGGGAAUCUUCCGCAAUGGGCGAAAGCCUGACGGAGCAACGCCGCGUGAGUGAUGAAGGUCUUCGGAUCGUAAAACUCUGUUAUUAGGGAAGAACAUAUGUGUAAGUAACUGUGCACAUCUUGACGGUACCUAAUCAGAAAGCCACGGCUAACUACGUGCCAGCAGCCGCGGUAAUACGUAGGUGGCAAGCGUUAUCCGGAAUUAUUGGGCGUAAAGCGCGCGUAGGCGGUUUUUUAAGUCUGAUGUGAAAGCCCACGGCUCAACCGUGGAGGGUCAUUGGAAACUGGAAAACUUGAGUGCAGAAGAGGAAAGUGGAAUUCCAUGUGUAGCGGUGAAAUGCGCAGAGAUAUGGAGGAACACCAGUGGCGAAGGCGACUUUCUGGUCUGUAACUGACGCUGAUGUGCGAAAGCGUGGGGAUCAAACAGGAUUAGAUACCCUGGUAGUCCACGCCGUAAACGAUGAGUGCUAAGUGUUAGGGGGUUUCCGCCCCUUAGUGCUGCAGCUAACGCAUUAAGCACUCCGCCUGGGGAGUACGACCGCAAGGUUGAAACUCAAAGGAAUUGACGGGGACCCGCACAAGCGGUGGAGCAUGUGGUUUAAUUCGAAGCAACGCGAAGAACCUUACCAAAUCUUGACAUCCUUUGACAACUCUAGAGAUAGAGCCUUCCCCUUCGGGGGACAAAGUGACAGGUGGUGCAUGGUUGUCGUCAGCUCGUGUCGUGAGAUGUUGGGUUAAGUCCUGCAACGAGCGCAACCCUUAAGCUUAGUUGCCAUCAUUAAGUUGGGCACUCUAAGUUGACUGCCGGUGACAAACCGGAGGAAGGUGGGGAUGACGUCAAAUCAUCAUGCCCCUUAUGAUUUGGGCUACACACGUGCUACAAUGGACAAUACAAAGGGCAGCGAAACCGCGAGGUCAAGCAAAUCCCAUAAAGUUGUUCUCAGUUCGGAUUGUAGUCUGCAACUCGACUACAUGAAGCUGGAAUCGCUAGUAAUCGUAGAUCAGCAUGCUACGGUGAAUACGUUCCCGGGUCUUGUACACACCGCCCGUCACACCACGAGAGUUUGUAACACCCGAAGCCGGUGGAGUAACCUUUUAGGAGCUAGCCGUCGAAGGUGGGACAAAUGAUUGGGGUGAAGUCGUAACAAGGUAGCCGUAUCGGAAGGUGCGGCUGGAUCACCUCCUUUCU
Molecule: ribosomal RNA, 1554 nt
Filed under: Staphylococcus aureus
Lineage: Bacteria; Bacillati; Bacillota; Bacilli; Caryophanales; Staphylococcaceae
Description: 16S ribosomal RNA
Rfam family: Bacterial small subunit ribosomal RNA
Source: RNAcentral